This 577-nucleotide ribosomal RNA is filed under the name Gluconobacter oxydans. RNAcentral describes it as "bacterial SSU rRNA". It matches the Rfam family "Bacterial small subunit ribosomal RNA", at positions 62 to 683 of the family's 1533-position model. Lineage: Bacteria; Pseudomonadati; Pseudomonadota; Alphaproteobacteria; Acetobacterales; Acetobacteraceae. The record is from RNAcentral.
UCGCACGAAGGUUUCGGCCUUAGUGGCGGACGGGUGAGUAACGCGUAGGGAUCUAUCCACGGGUGGGGGACAACUUCGGGAAACUGGAGCUAAUACCGCAUGAUACCUGAGGGUCAAAGGCGCAAGUCGCCUGUGGAGGAACCUGCGUUCGAUUAGCUAGUUGGUGGGGUAAAGGCCUACCAAGGCGAUGAUCGAUAGCUGGUUUGAGAGGAUGAUCAGCCACACUGGGACUGAGACACGGCCCAGACUCCUACGGGAGGCAGCAGUGGGGAAUAUUGGACAAUGGGCGAAAGCCUGAUCCAGCAAUGCCGCGUGUGUGAAGAAGGUCUUCGGAUUGUAAAGCACUUUCGACGGGGACGAUGAUGACGGUACCCGUAGAAGAAGCCCCGGCUAACUUCGUGCCAGCAGCCGCGGUAAUACGAAGGGGGCUAGCGUUGCUCGGAAUGACUGGGCGUAAAGGGCGCGUAGGCGGUUUAGACAGUCAGAUGUGAAAUCCCCGGGCUUAACCUGGGAACUGCAUUUGAUACGUCUAGACUAGAGUUCGAGAGAGGGUUGUGGAAUUCCCAGUGUAGCGGUG